Molecule: long non-coding RNA, 485 nt
Filed under: Mytilus galloprovincialis (Mediterranean mussel)
Lineage: Eukaryota; Metazoa; Mollusca; Bivalvia; Mytilida; Mytilidae
Source: RNAcentral
CACGUGUUUGUCUGCUGUGCUUGAAUUCAAAACGACCCAUCAGACUUAUUUACACGAAUUUUUGCUCAAGCAGACAGUUAAAUAUGUCCGUUUACCUUAUGGGGUCUGUUAAGAAUGGAUUUGCUGUUAUAAAUUGUGUAUGCAUGGAAAUAUAAGGAAGAUAACAUUGAUUUUUACCGUAACUUUUGAAUACACAACAUUCCCAAGGUAUCCCCACAAAACACAUGGCUACUUUGUAACGACGGCUGGUAACGUGUAGCCACUUUCUAACGGCAAAUUUAAUUGGAUGAUCUUCAAAGAUCAAUAAUAAAAUUGCUAAUAAAUGAUUGGAUACGAAUUUGUGUCAGAUUAUAAAUAGGUGAAAAAAUGUAAACAUUGAAAUCCGCCAUCUUGACGUAGGAAACAAACUAAUUUUCAGUCUUGGAUUAAAGGACAUUGCGCACAUUGCCAGCGUAUCAUGCAUAAACAGUCAUCUGCAAAUAUAU